This 307-nucleotide small RNA is filed under the name Callithrix jacchus (white-tufted-ear marmoset). Its description in RNAcentral is "Metazoan signal recognition particle RNA (ENSCJAG00000059896.2)". Lineage: Eukaryota; Metazoa; Chordata; Mammalia; Primates; Cebidae. The record is from RNAcentral.
GCUGGACACGGUGGCGCGUGCCUGUAAUCCCAGCUACUCAGGAGGCUGAGGCAGGAGAAUUACCUGAACCCAGGAGGUGGAGGUUGCAGUGAGCCGAGAUCGCGCUAUUGCACUCCAGCCUGAAUAACAAGAGCGAAACUCCGUCUCAAAAAAAAGUUCAGUUUUGUUUUUGCAAAGCUUGAGGAUUGGUAGUAUUGAUUGAUUGAUUGAGAUAGUCUCACUCUGUUGCCCGGGCUGGAGUGCAGUGGCACAAUCUCAGCUCACUGCAAUCUCCACCUCCCAGGUUCAAGUGAUUCUCUUGCCUCAG